UCCGGGCUGUGAUUAGCCAGGACGAGAAGGGCGUCGGGACUGCCACUGUUGUGGGUGAUAGUGAUUCUCUUGCUUUGUCGCCGAAGGAUGAAUUGGAUGUCAGGGUGGUUCUGACCAUACGAAAAAAGAUGAAGGAGAAGCUGGUGGAGAAGAUCGAGGAUCAAUGGGAGUCUUUUGUUAAUGGCAUCGGCUGUGGGAUCGUUGUUCAGCUCGUCAGUGAGGAGAUCGACCCUGUCACCAAAACUGGGAAGAGAAGUGCAGAGACUCCAGUGAGGAGUUGGUUACCCCAGGCAUCAGGCAAUCCAUUGCUUGCUGAGUAUGUCGCAAAUCUCACUGUCCAGUCUGAUUUUGGCCUGCCUGGCGCCAUUAUCAUCACAAACCCUCAUAGCAAGGAGUUCUACCUGAUGGAGAUUGUAAUUCAUGGUUUCAGUGGGGGCCCUGUCAUUUUUCCGUCAAAUUCAUGGAUCCAUUCUCGCAGUGAUAAUCCUCAGAGCAGGAUUCUCUUCAGCAAUCAGGCAUACUUGCCAUCUCAAACCCCCAAUGGUCUUAAGGACCUUCGACAAGAAGACCUGAUUUGCCUUCGUGGUGAUGGGCAAGGCGAGAGGAAAAUGUUUGAAAGAGUCUAUGACUAUGCCACAUACAAUGACUUGGGUAAUCCUGACAAGGGUGAAGAUCUUGCUAGGCCAAAUCUAGGAGGUAAUCAGAAACCAUAUCCUAGGCGUUGUCGUACCGGCCGACCACCAGCUAAGUCAGAUCCAACAGCAGAGGGUCGGGUAGAGAAGCCUCAUCCUAUAUAUGUCCCUCGCGAUGAGGCAUUUGAGGAAGUCAAGCAGACCACAUUUUCUUCUGGAGCUUUAAGAGCAUUACUUCACAAUCUGAUACCAGCCCUAAAAGCUGCACUUUCUAGAUCUGACAAACAGUUCGAGUGCUUCUCUGACAUCGACCAGCUAUACAAAGUCGGGGUACUACUCCAACGUGAUGAACCUAAAGCAACCACCAAGCUUUUACUCCCAUCAAUACUGUCAAGUAUCAUGAAUGUCGGUGAAAGAUUUCUAAAAUAUGAGGUUCCAUCUAUCAUAUCAAGGGACAGUUUUUCUUGGUUGCGGGACAAUGAAUUUGCCCGCCAGACUUUAGCUGGUGUAAACCCAGUUGAUAUUGAAAGACUGAGGGAGUUCCCUAUAAUCAGUAAGUUGGAUCCUGCAGUUUAUGGUCCUCCAGAGUCGGCAAUAACUAAGGAGUGUAUAGAGCAUGAUUUGAACGGAAUGAGCCUUGAAGAGGCAAUGGAGAAUGAUAGAUUGUUUAUUCUUGAUUAUCAUGAUCUCCUUCUUCCAUUUGUAAAAAAGAUCAACUCCUUGAAGGGAAGGAAAGUUUAUGCUUCAAGAACAAUAUUCUUCCGCACCAGAUUUGGCACUCUUAGACCAAUCGCUAUCGAGCUUAGCUUGCCACCUACUGCUUCCAAUCCUCCUAAAAAAAGGGUAUAUACAAGAGGACAUGAUGCUACAAGUCAUUGGAUUUGGAAAUUGGCAAAAGCUCAUGUCUGUUCAGUUGAUGCUGGGGUCCAUCAACUAGUGAACCAUUGGUUGAGGACUCAUGCAUGUAUGGAGCCCUACAUAAUUGCUGCUCAUAGGCAGCUUAGUUUCAUGCACCCAAUUUUCAAGCUGCUGCAUCCACAUAUGCGAUACACAAUGGAAAUCAACGCAUUGGCACGCCAAAGUUUAAUAAAUGGUGGUGGCAUUAUUGAGGCCUGCUUUAGCCCAGGGAAGUACUCAUUAGAGCUUAGUUCAGCAGCUUAUAAGAGCGUGUGGCGAUUUGAUAUGGAAGCACUGCCGGCUGACCUGAUCCGAAGAGGCAUGGCUGUAGAGGACCCCUCGAUGCCUUGUGGCAUAAAGCUUGUCAUAGAGGACUACCCUUACGCCGCAGAUGGUCUGCUCAUCUGGUCGGCGAUACAAGAUUGGGUCCGCGACUAUGUGAACCAUUUCUACACCAAAGCCGAAGCUGUUACUUCCGACACAGAGCUCCAAGAUUGGUGGGAUGAGAUUAAGAACAAAGGUCAUGCGGACAAGAAAGACGAACCAUGGUGGCCAAAGUUAAACAACCAAGAAGACCUGAUCAACAUUCUGACUAUCAUGAUAUGGACUGCUUCAGGACAACAUGCAGCUGUAAACUUUGGUCAGUACCCAUUCGGAGGCUACAUGCCGAAUCGGCCUACUCUAAUGAAGAAACUCAUUCCACAAGAAGAUGAGCCUGACUACGAGGACUUCAUAUUGAAUCCUCAAUACACUUUUCUGUCAUCGGUGCCAUCUCAACUUCAAGCUACUCAAAUAAUGGCAGUCCAGGACACCUUAUCGACGCAUUCUCCUGACGAGGAGUAUCUGGGUCAGCUGCACAAUUCACACUCUCACUGGAUCAAGGAUCGGCAAAUAGUGAACUAUUUUGAAACAUUCUCCGCAAAAUUGGUCGAGAUUGAGGACAUCAUACACAAGAGAAACAAGAACUUCCAUCUCAAGAACAGAAGCGGAGCUGGUGUACCUCCAUACGAACUUCUCCUUCCUACCUCCGGUCCCGGUGUGACGGGCCGUGGCGUUCCGAAUAGCAUAUCCAUAUGAACCAUUGGCUGCUUGCAUUGUAUCUAAUUGCGCACUUAUUGUUUGAAAUUAGCUCCACAGAUUGAUAUUGUUUGCAAGAUUUGCACAAGGUUUGGCAACUGGCAAGUCCUAUUGUUACAGUAUAUGUACAAGUAAAAAUUUGUGAGGCCUCUAGAUUGUGUUGUGUAGUUUAUCUUCAAACUUUGUGAAGAAUUGGAAGGAGAAGCUUCGGUUGGCUCAAUUUGUCGAAGUCAUUUCAUUGUAAUAAAAUUUUAGAUCAAUUAUAAAUAGGUUGAUAUCAA
RNA transcript from Dioscorea cayenensis subsp. rotundata (Guinea yam), 2887 nucleotides. It is a transcript of the gene named lipoxygenase 6, chloroplastic-like, with no coding region annotated. The record is from RefSeq and is a predicted model, not a curated record. Lineage: Eukaryota; Viridiplantae; Streptophyta; Magnoliopsida; Dioscoreales; Dioscoreaceae. The transcript is spliced from 10 exons.